AGCAGCCGCGGUAAUUCCAGCUCCAAUAGCGUAUAUUAAAGUUGUUGCAGUUAAAAAGCUCGUAGUUGAAUUUCGGGGUCAGUAGAUUGGUCAUGCCUCCGGUAUGUACUGGUCUUACUGGCUCCUCCUUCCUGAUGAACCGUAAUGCCAUUAAUUUGGUGUUGCGGGGAGACUGGACUGUUACUUUGAAAAAAUUAGAGUGUUUAAAGCAGGCUAACGCUUGAAUACAUUAGCAUGGAAUAAUGAAAUAGGACGUUCGAUCUUAUUUUGUUGGUUUCUAAGAUUGACGUAAUGAUUAAUAGGGAUAGUUGGGGGCAUUAGUAUUCAAUUGUCAGAGGUGAAAUUCUUGGAUUUAUUGAAGACUAACUACUGCGAAAGCAUUUGCCAAGGAUGUUUUCAUUAAUCAAGAACGAAAGUUAGGGGAUCGAAGACGAUCAGAUACCGUCGUAGUCUUAACCAUAAACUAUGCCGACUAGGGAUCGGAUGAUGUUAAUUUUUAAUGACUCAUUCGGCGCCUUAA
Molecule: ribosomal RNA, 520 nt
Filed under: uncultured Glomus
Lineage: Eukaryota; Fungi; Glomeromycota; Glomeromycetes; Glomerales; Glomeraceae
Description: SSU rRNA
Rfam family: Eukaryotic small subunit ribosomal RNA
Source: RNAcentral